This is a long non-coding RNA of Spinacia oleracea (spinach), 1709 nucleotides long. RefSeq lists it as uncharacterized. NCBI's taxonomy places the organism in Eukaryota, Viridiplantae, Streptophyta, Magnoliopsida, Caryophyllales, Amaranthaceae. The record is from RefSeq and is a predicted model, not a curated record. The transcript has 2 exons.
ACCUCACAACAACUAAUAAUUUUUAUUUUUGUAUUUAGAAAAUAAUAUCCGCAAUUAAGCUAUGCAACUAAUAAAGGCUAAAUCCUAACACAAUUGGAAGUAGGAUCAACGCACUUAUUUAAGGGAGCACAAUCGAGUUUGGGAACGUAAUUUAACUUCUCCAAUCUCCAAUUCUACAUACUUGCUUAUAUAUUUUGUCUGGAACAAGAACAACCGCUUAAAUCAAAAGCUCCCCUCCUCCUUUGCCAAUUGACCCGCACGAAACAGUUGGCUGACAUGGAGAUGAACAACCAAGCUCCCAAAUCUCAUCGCAUGAAAAAGGAUUUUUAUAUAAUAGAUGAUCUCCUGCUGCAAAUUUUGUUCCGACUACCGUGCUCAGAAUCAGUUAUCAGGUGUAAGUGUGUCUGCAAGCAGUGGUGUAAGGUAAUAUCUGAACCGGGAUUUGAUGCUAAAUUUAUUGCUCAUAAAAUCAAUAACAGUCACUUGUCUACAUCGAAAAAUGAAGAACAACUUCCCUCUAUAUUUGGGCUUCGGCGAUACGAUAAAAAAAGCCUUUUAUUUAUCCCACCCAUCCACCCUUUACAAAUCUAGACUUUUCCCUAAGUUUUAUUCCAACUUAUGAACAAGGACCUAAAUACCGUAUCAUUGUGAAAGCACAGUGUAGUGAUCUGGUUGUAUGCAUCAGUCCCUCACCAAAAGAUCUUUAUCUGUAUGUUUGCAAUCCUCGCACCAAGCAAUAUUUUCAACUGCCUCUACCAUCUCAAACACAUAAAAAGGAUCAAGAUCAACAACGGAUAGACUAGAAAUCGAAAUCUUCUCAUCUGAAAACAGAGUUUGGAGGAAAGCAAUCUUAUUGACACCACAGUAUUUUGAUUAUAAUUAUGCUACGUUAAAAAAAUGCUUUACCUACAAGGAGAUAUUUCAUUUUUACAGUGAAUAUGCCAUUAUCGGUUUUGAUUCCUACAAGAUCAACGAGGAUGGUGAAAUCAAUACCCAUUUCAUUCAGAUGCCCCCAUUUGACGCCACUGCAAACCAUAUUCGCAGUGUGUGCAUUGGAGUUUUUUGAGGGAAAAUACUUGUUGCAGAAUUCUGUCCACGCUACGUACAUCCAAGACAAUUGAUCAAUACAAAAGAGGUUAGUAAUAUCAGUAUUAUUGAACCACCAAGUAGUGCGUAUGGCAUAAAGGUUUGGGAGCUUAACAACUAUAGCACUGGUGAAUGGUCCAUGAAGCAUAUGAUUUAUUUUCAUGAAUUGGUUUCACCAGACUCUCUACUCACUCUAUAUACUAUGCGAGGAUGUCCCAACUCGGAGGUUCUAUUUUUCCAUCCAAACGAUGCUGAUACUGUGUUGUUGAUGCUUCCGAAACUAGUUGCUGAAUGUAACUUGAAGGAUAAAACGAUAAAACGAGUUUGUAACUUUAGUAAACAACUUCAGAAGGUAUAUGGUGUUGCUUUCCCGUGGUGGCCGUCACCACUUCCGUCAAUUAUGUAGUACGGAGUACUAGCUACGCAUUACAACGUUGGCACACGGUUUAAGGAAGAGAAUAGAGAAGAUAUACAUUUUAUUGUUCUCUUUGGUGCCAAUGGAAGCACGCAAGUUAUUGUUUGUUUUUCUGUUUAUGUUGUUUAUGUUGAAUUCCUGAAUCAAUAUUUUAUUACUACCUACUUAUACUAGGUAGUAGUAGGUAUUAAGACGCCCUUUUAUAGCU